UGGGGAAUAUUGCGCAAUGGGGGGAACCCUGACGCAGCCAUGCCGCGUGAAUGAAGAAGGCCUUAGGGUUGUAAAGUUCUUUCGGUAUUGAGGAAGGUUGAUGUGUUAAUAGCACAUCAAAUUGACGUUAAAUACAGAAGAAGCACCGGCUAACUCCGUGCCAGCAGCCGCGGUAAUACGGAGGGUGCGAGCGUUAAUCGGAAUAACUGGGCGUAAAGGGCACGCAGGCGGUUAUUUAAGUGAGGUGUGAAAGCCCUGGGCUUAACCUGGGAAUUGCAUUUCAGACUGGGUAACUAGAGUACUUUAGGGAGGGGUAGAAUUCCACGUGUAGCGGCGAAAUGCGUAGAGAUGUGGAGGAAUACCGAAGGCGAAGGCAGCCCCUUGGGAAUGUACUGACGCUCAUGUGCGAAAGCGUGGGGAGCAAACAGGAUUAGAUACCCUGGUAGUCCACGCUGUAAACGCUGUCGAUUUGGGGGUUGGGGUUUAACUCUGGCGCCCGUAGCUAACGUGAUAAAUCGACCGCCUGGGGAGUACGGCCGCAAGGUUA
Molecule: ribosomal RNA, 547 nt
Filed under: uncultured bacterium
Lineage: Bacteria
Description: bacterial SSU rRNA
Rfam family: Bacterial small subunit ribosomal RNA
Source: RNAcentral